This 31-nucleotide non-coding RNA is filed under the name Homo sapiens (human). Lineage: Eukaryota; Metazoa; Chordata; Mammalia; Primates; Hominidae. The record is from RNAcentral.
UGCUCGACUCCCAGCAUGCAUAUUUUGUUGU